GGAGAGGUGGCAGAGUGGUCGAAUGCGCUGCACUCGAAAUGCAGUAUACGGGCAACCGUAUCGAGGGUUCGAAUCCCUCCCUCUCCGCCA
Molecule: transfer RNA, 90 nt
Filed under: Erythrobacter sp.
Lineage: Bacteria; Pseudomonadati; Pseudomonadota; Alphaproteobacteria; Sphingomonadales; Erythrobacteraceae
Also listed under: 18 other names
Description: tRNA-Ser
Rfam family: tRNA
About the family: Transfer RNA (tRNA) molecules are approximately 80 nucleotides in length. Their secondary structure includes four short double-helical elements and three loops (D, anti-codon, and T loops).
Source: RNAcentral